This 497-nucleotide ribosomal RNA is filed under the name uncultured bacterium. RNAcentral's name for it is "partial 16S ribosomal RNA". It matches the Rfam family "Bacterial small subunit ribosomal RNA", at positions 28 to 507 of the family's 1533-position model. The record is from RNAcentral.
GAUGAACGCUGGCGGCGUGCCUAAUACAUGCAAGUCGAGCGAACGGACGAGAAGCUUGCUUCUCUGAUGUUAGCGGCGUACGGGUGAGUAACACGUGGAUAACCUACCUAUAAGACUGGGAUAACUUCGGGAAACCGUAGCUAAUACCGGAUAAUAUUUUGAACCGCAUGGUUCAAAAGUGAAAGACGGUCUUGCUGUCACUUAUAGAUGGAUCCGCGCUGCAUUAGCUAGUUGGUAAGGUAACGGCUUACCAAGGCAACGAUGCAUAGCCGACCUGAGAGGGUGAUCGGCCACACUGGAACUGAGACACGGUCCAGACUCCUACGGGAGGCAGCAGUAGGGAAUCUUCCGCAAUGGGCGAAAGCCUGACGGAGCAACGCCGCGUGAGUGAUGAAGGUCUUCGGAUCGUAAAACUCUGUUAUUAGGGAAGAACAUAUGUGUAAGUAACUGUGCACAUCUUGACGGUACCUAAUCAGAAAGCCACGGCUAACUACGUG